UACUUUUGCAGCGCUUUUGGUUUCCGGCGUUUUGUGCCGGAAUUAAAAGGGAAUGCAGUGUAAUUCUGCAACUGUCCCGCAGCUGUAAGCUCUGUAACGGUUUUUAAUUCUAUGCCACUGUUUUUAACUGAAUGGGAAGGCUAAAUAACCGGGAGUAAGUCAGAAGACCUGCCACAUGUAUAUAAUUUCA
This 190-nucleotide non-coding RNA is filed under the name Pedobacter sp. The record is from RNAcentral. Lineage: Bacteria; Pseudomonadati; Bacteroidota; Sphingobacteriia; Sphingobacteriales; Sphingobacteriaceae.